GUCUGGAGUAAGCCCAGGAAUACGGUGCAGCAGAGUUCUUUAGGCCACAUGCUUAACCAAGAAGAGAUUUCCUCAUCUUGCACAUUGUGCAUGAGUCUCACAAACCAUGGUUGGGAAGAUCUGGACUAGGAGUCAGGGGAUUUUGACUUUGCCAGCCACUGCUAA
This 165-nucleotide ribozyme is filed under the name Dasypus novemcinctus (nine-banded armadillo). RNAcentral's name for it is "Hovlinc ribozyme (hominin vlincRNA-located)". It matches the Rfam family "Hovlinc ribozyme (hominin vlincRNA-located)". From Rfam's summary of the family: Hovlinc is a recently evolved class of self-cleaving ribozyme found in a very long non coding RNA (vlincRNA) in hominins, including humans (genus Homo), and chimpanzees and bonobos (genus Pan), but missing in gorillas (genus Gorilla). The record is from Rfam by way of RNAcentral. Lineage: Eukaryota; Metazoa; Chordata; Mammalia; Cingulata; Dasypodidae.